GACGAACGCUGGCGGCGUGCUUAACACAUGCAAGUCGAACGAAGAGCGAUGGAAGCUUGCUUCUAUCAAUCUUAGUGGCGAACGGGUGAGUAACGCGUAAUCAACCUGCCCUUCAGAGGGGGACAACAGUUGGAAACGACUGCUAAUACCGCAUACGAUCUAAUCUCGGCAUCGAGGGUAGAUGAAAGGUGGCCUCUACAUGUAAGCUAUCACUGAAGGAGGGGAUUGCGUCUGAUUAGCUAGUUGGAGGGGUAACGGCCCACCAAGGCGAUGAUCAGUAGCCGGUCUGAGAGGAUGAACGGCCACAUUGGGACUGAGACACGGCCCAGACUCCUACGGGAGGCAGCAGUGGGGAAUCUUCCGCAAUGGACGAAAGUCUGACGGAGCAACGCCGCGUGAGUGAUGACGGCCUUCGGGUUGUAAAGCUCUGUUAAUCGGGACGAAAGGCCUUCUUGCGAAUAGUGAGAAGGAUUGACGGUACCGGAAUAGAAAGCCACGGCUAACUACGUG
Molecule: ribosomal RNA, 510 nt
Filed under: uncultured bacterium
Lineage: Bacteria
Description: partial 16S ribosomal RNA
Rfam family: Bacterial small subunit ribosomal RNA
Source: RNAcentral